GAUGAACGCUGGCGGCGUGCUUAACACAUGCAAGUCGAACGAAGCAUUUAGAACGGAUUACUUCGGUUUGAAGUUCUUUAUGACUGAGUGGCGGACGGGUGAGUAACGCGUGGGUAACCUGCCUUGUACUGGGGGAUAGCAGCUGGAAACGGCUGGUAAUACCGCAUAAGCGCACAAUGUUGCAUGACAUGGUGUGAAAAACUCCGGUGGUAUAAGAUGGACCCGCGUCUGAUUAGCUAGUUGGUGAGAUAACAGCCCACCAAGGCGACGAUCAGUAGCCGACCUGAGAGGGUGACCGGCCACAUUGGGACUGAGACACGGCCCAGACUCCUACGGGAGGCAGCAGUGGGGAAUAUUGCACAAUGGAGGAAACUCUGAUGCAGCGACGCCGCGUGAGUGAAGAAGUAAUUCGUUAUGUAAAGCCCUAUCAGCAGGGAAGAUAGUGACGGUACCUGACUAAGAAGCUCCGGCUAAAUACGUGCCAGCAGCCGCCGUAA
Molecule: ribosomal RNA, 497 nt
Filed under: uncultured bacterium
Lineage: Bacteria
Description: partial 16S ribosomal RNA
Rfam family: Bacterial small subunit ribosomal RNA
Source: RNAcentral